RNAcentral lists this long non-coding RNA (3434 nucleotides) under Octopus vulgaris (common octopus). Lineage: Eukaryota; Metazoa; Mollusca; Cephalopoda; Octopoda; Octopodidae. The record is from RNAcentral.
CCUCAUUCCUCCAUUAGACUUCUUCUAUAAUGUCGAUCGCAUCUUUCACGGUUUCAUUUCUUUCCCCCUUUUUCAUUCAACAACUAAUUAAAUGGUAACACCCAGUUUAACGUAAUUAGUUUCAUACACGACUGACUUCUCUACAGUUCUCUACCAAUUCCCACUGGCAGGGUAUCUUUCAAUUUAACACUAGCACCAGCGACGACUAAAGGUAUUUCUACACUUUAGUGCCCCACGAAUUUGUUUUCGCGAAAUGUUUUCAAAUUUGUGUAUUUGUAAAUAACGCUUUGCAGAGAUAAUCUUUUGAGGUUGUAGAUAACGUUUAUGUUGAUAAUAUUACGUCUGCCGUUACGUUCUGAGUUGAAAAUCCGCCGAGGUCGACUUUACCUUUCAUCCCUUCGGAGUCGAUUAUAUAAGUAUCAGUUACGCACUGGGGUCGAUGAAAUCGACUUAAUCCCUUUGUCUGUCCUUGUUUGUCCCCUCUGUAUUUAGCCCCUUGUUGGUAGUAAAGAAAUAGGUAUUUUGUCUGCCGUUACGUUCUGAGUUCAAAUUCCGGCGAGGUCGACUUUGCCUUUCAUCCUUUCAGGGUCGAUAAAUUAAGUACCAGUUACGCACUGGGGUCGAUGUAAUCGACUUAAUCCCUUUGUCUGUCCUUGUUUGUCCCCUCUAUGUUUAGCCCCUUGUGGGUAGUAAAGAAAUAGGUAUUUCGUCUGCCGUUACGUUCUGAGUUCAAAUUCCGGCGAGGUCGACUUUGCCUUUCAUCCUUUCAGGGUCGAUAAAUUAAGUACCAGUUACGCACUGGGGUCGAUGUAAUCGACUUAAUCCCUUUGUCUGUCCUUGUUUGUCCCCUCUAUGUUUAGCCCCUUGUGGGUAGUAAAGAAAUAGGUAUUUCGUCUGCCGUUACGUUCUGAGUUCAAAUUCCGCCGAGGUCGACUUUGCCUUUCAUCCUUUCCAGGUCGAUUAAAUAUGUAACAGUUAUGCACUGGGGUCGAUAUAAUCGACUUAAUCCCUUUGUCUGUCCUUGUUUGUCCCCUCUGUGUUUAGCCCCUUGUUGGUAGUAAAGAAAUAGGUAUUUCGUCUGCCGUUACGUUCUGAGUUCAAAUUCCGCCGAGGUCGACUUUGCUUUUCAUCCUUUCAGGGUCGAUAAAUUAAGUACCAGUUACGCACUGGGGUCGAUGUAAUCGACUUAAUCCCUUUGUUUGUCCCCUCUAUGUUUAGCCCCCUGUGGGCAAUAAAAAAGUAAAUAUUAAAAAAGAAUUGUAUCUUGGAUAAAUUUUGUAUGGUUUUUUUUGUCUCCUCUCCCCUAAAUAUUGACAAUGUUAACAUUUUUCAUAUCUCUCCCCUUCGAUUUUUCUCUCUUAAACAUCAACAUUACGUAAUCUACAUUCUCGAAAGCGUAUCUCUUGCAUAGUGUCGUUUAAAAAAUAAGUAUUUAAAAAGGAAACGAUGGGACCUUUUCGGUUUGAACGGCAGUUUUUAACAAUUUCUAGGUAACUAAAAAAAAUUUAAACUUCGUAUACUGGUAGAAUGUGUUUAUAAAACAUCUUUCUUCGUAUACUGGUAGAAUGUGUUUAUAAAACAUCUUUCUUCGUAUACUGGUAGAAUGUGUUUAUAAAACAUCUUUUUCUCUUGGCUUUAUUGAGAAAAUUCUCUAGUUUGUAAGAUAUUUGUUGUUUUUUUACUUCAAUUUCUGCAAUUUCAACCAAUCAAUUACGUCCAUUGAGGUAAAAAAAAUCAUUCUGUGCCGUAUGAAUAUGUCCCCCGUUUAAGAAACAGAUUGGAUUUAUUUACAUUUCUGAAGACAAAAAGAUACCCUUCCCCCACCCCUAACUCUAACCCUAACCCUAAAACAGAUUGAAAUGCAAUAGAUCGAUACUAGGGUCAUAAUUAUGGGUGACAAUUUCAUAUGACACCGCUAGAAAAACUGCCGUUCAAACCAAAAAGAUCCAAACGAUGUUUGGGAGAGUGAAGUAUUUAUUAAGUGUUAUCAGCAUAAUUAUAAUGUACAGUCUUGGGAACGUCUCUCUUUACUCUUUUACUCUUUUACUUGUUUCAGUCAUUUGACUGCGGCCAUGCUGGAGCACCGCCUUUAGUCGAGCAAAUCGACCCCGGGACUUAUUCUUUGUAAGCCCAGUACUUAUUCUAUCGGUCUGUUUUGCCGAACCGCUAAGUGACGGGGACGUAAACACACCAGCAUCGGUUGUCAAGCAAUGCUAGGGGGACAAACACAGACACACAUACAUAUAUAUAUAUAUACAUAUAUACGACAGGCUUCUUUCAGUUUCCGUCUACCAAAUCCACUCACAAGGCAUUGGUCGGCCCGGGGCUAUAGUAGAAGACACUUGCCCAAGAUGCCACGCAGUGGGACUGAACCCGGAACCAUGUGGCUGGUUAGCAAGCUACUUACCACACAGCCACUCCUGCGCCUCUGGAACAUAUAUAAGGAUAUCCACACAUCUUUGUCUUCCCCUCAACUUUGUCUCCUCAUAACUUCUAGAAACAUUUGUAGAUAAAAUUAUGCGAUGUGUGUGUGUGUGUGUGCAUUCACCAAAAAAAAAAUUUUUUUUUUUCACAUUACAUCUCGAUAUAAUUAUAAUCCACGUCAUCUGGAAGAUAUUUGUAGGAAAUUUCAUUAAAAAAAAACAAUCCACUUUUCUCGAAGUUACGAGGAAACAAAUUCAGGGGAGAUGCAUACAUGUUUAGAUAGGUAGUAUAUUGAGGUAGUAGGUAUUUAAAAAUGGGGUACUUGUAUAUAACCAUAGGCACGUCAGAGAUUAUAAUGAACUUUAAAUAUAUAUAUAAAAACAGACUUCUCAAAAUUGAAUAGCCUGCCCCCUGUCACUAUCUGGUCCUUCCAACUUCUAGUUUUUUUUCAUUUCAGAUUACAGUAUAUUGUUUAUAGCAACUGGUCAUGCCACGAACACCAGAUGCGAAGGAGCUGUCAGAUUUUCAAAGAGGACGUAUUGUGGGUCAGUCUGAUAGUGGACGUAGCCAGCGUAAGAUCGCGCAAAACCUUGGAAUUCCUCUUGCCACAGUCAACAGAGUGAUUGUCCAGUUCACCAGCGAAGGAAAGGAGUCAACCGCCUCCCGCUCAGGUCGACCUGGGCCCUCUGAUAAGUGUCUUCAGACUGUUAAACAGAUUGUUGAAAGUAACCCCCAUUGCAAGGCAGCUGAUGUUGCAGAACAACUUCAAAAGAGUCGGAGUACCUCUGUGAGGUAUCUUCAUCAACUUGGUUACUACGGUAAAGUAGCCAGAAGGAAACCUUCUUUGACCCACAGAUAUCCAAAGGAUUGGACAAAUAAAAUGGCAGAGAAAGCCAAAUGGGUUAAAACAUUAAAACCUGCAGAAGAAAUGUCAACUACAUCCUAAAUGAAUUAUUUAAAAAAAUCAGAUAACAUUAUUUUCUUUCUUGAAAUUAAAUCCUUAAAAAAAA